GGCUUACGAAUACCCCAAAUGACACAAUCGAAAUUAUGAAUAAAAAAAAUAAUUCAUAUAAUCUCUCUUUUAACCUUGAUAUCUUAUGCUUGAGCUUCUUCUUUAUUUCUCACUCGAGAAAAAUCAAUGAAAUUCUCCACUACCACCAUCAUCCAUCACUACCACCACCAUCUCCGUCGCCACCACAACCAACACCAACACCACCAACACCAGAAUCGUCUCCAUUGCCAUCAUCACUAUCUCAGUGAGUUAUCACUCUUUAAUUUCACAUCUAAAAAAAUAUAUCUCUCUCUUCUCUUUCUCUCCGGAAAUCUACAGUACCACCACCAUCUCCUCCGCCAACUGAUUCAAAUUUAAAUCGAAAAUUAUUAUCCGCAUUAGAUAGUUCAUAUUCAGAUAGACCUUCUUCUUCUUGUAAAGAUUAAUUUCAAAAUCAAAUUAAAAAAUAUUGAGAUCUGAUUUUAGAUUUUGAUUUCUGAUAAGUUAGUCUCUAUUUCAACUGGAUUGGGAUCGAAGAACCUAAAAUCGAUGAUCACAAUUGGUUUUGGAAUUUAUUGAUUAUCUUCUUACAUUUGCUUUGAAGUUUUUGGUGGUGUUGGUGGUAUUGGUUAGAUUAAGAACGAAGGAGUUGAUGGAGAUUGCGGUGGUUCUGGUUGCAAUGGUGAAAUUUGGCAAUUGAGACAGUGGUAGUUAAGAUUGUUUGUUGUUGUGGUGGUGGUGGUGAUAUCUUCUGAAUGGGAAAGAAGAAGAGUAUACAAAUGAUGGUGGUGGAGCUUAUUGCGAAGGUACCAUGGUGAUCUACAAGAAGCGAUUUUGUGGGUGGCCCUGUACCUCUAUUGCAGCAGGUACCAUAGUGAUCUACAAGAAGCUAUUCAUGUAAGACGGGAAUUUGGCAUUGAUAUUGAUUUUUUGUUGGUGGUGGUGGUGGUUGCGAAGGUGAUGGUGGUGGAAUUUUCGUUGUACGUUCUGUAUGCUACUCACAUUUGAUUGGUAUUGAAUUUGUUUUUCAGUAUGUGGUACAUUUCGACACAUUUAUUGUGGUUGGAGUAGUGGGAUAUGCUCCCUAGUUGGUAAUUCUAGCGAGUACCUGGUUGAAUUCUCUAACUGACAUUUCUAUUGAGAUGUAUAAGUGUGUUCCUUACAAUUUCAUGUUGUGUACAGAAGUUGUUUAAAUUAUGCACUCAACCAACCUAGCCAGAAUCGUUGUUUAGCAUACAUUUUGGAACUGCAUGAAUACUUAAAUUAGUAUGAACUACUAUGUGUACUUGGACUGUUAUGAACUAGGUUGCAUUAUUAAUGAAAAUUGUUGUUGGCAGUAUUCGACAUAAUGUGUUUGAGUAGUGGCUUUUGGAUGGAAUAAUGAACCGACAUGUAGAGGACUUGAUUCUUGUAAAAACCAUUAAUAUAUUACUAUACCAGCUCUUGCUUCCAAGAAACUAUCAAACAUUUCUUGCAUUUUGAUUCAGUUAAUUGUCCAUGUGAAUAUUGGCUUGCUAAUAGAAGAUGCAGCUGGAGAAUAAUUACCAAACAGUUCCGUUCAUUCCCUCUCUGUUCAUCUUCUUUAUUUUAUUCUCUUGAUUUUGUAACGAAGAAAAUUUCUAGUUUUAUUGUGUAUUUUGAAUGGCUUCUUAGUGUGCAAAGGAAUCUUUUCUCUGCUGGAAGCAAGGUUCACCACUCCACUUGCCUUGUCUUGCCAUGGACUCACCACUCGCUGGUGUACAAUUAGUUAAGACAGAAUACUACAAGUCUACAUUUUUCGGUGCUUGAACCUUUCAGUAAUUCCAUGUCUUGCAAGAUGUUACGGAUCUCUUGAAGGAUGCCACAGAUCCAAUCAGUGGCCGUUAUACUAUCAUAAUGGAUAGUCCGUUACCAUUCCAAUUGAAUGGUUUUGAAUCAUUUUCCGUAAGCAAUACUAGAUUUUUCUUUGCAUAUGUUUGAAUAACCACUACUGAAAUUUGUGGACUCGUAGUAUGUUUUAGAAAUAGAUUUGUUUGUUUUUGUAUGGUUUUACUACUAAAGUCUAGUUCUUUUCAUUUUCUGGUUAAUAAACUAUAGCUUCAUCUUCGUUUUUGGACUCUAGAUUUUGGGGACAACUUGAGAAAAUUGCUUUCACUUUUGGGGACAAUUUGAAAAACUUGCUUUCACUUUUGGAGGCAAUUUGAGAUAGUUGAUUCCAGUUCAGAGCAAUGCUGGAGGCAGUGGAUGUCGUAGUGGAGAUGGUUUGUUGUGUUAGCAGUAGUGGAGAUGGUUUGUUGUGUUAGCAGUAGUGGUGGGGUAGUUGCGGGAGACAAUAUGAACUUGUGUUGGAUGCGCGCAAACUACUAGCAUGACUGACUCCACGUCAGAUGAUGUGUGUUCGACUCAUGCCAGGUUCACUUUUGAGUAUACUUUUCCUUUAUAGACAACUUGUCCUAGUUUCUUCCAAAUGCGGAGACAACUUGAGCUAGUUUCCUCCAUAUUUGUAAACAACUUGAGCUAGUUGCUUUCAAAUAUGGUAAGCAACUUGUUCUUACACACUAUCUAAUGGAGACAACUUGAGAUAGUUGCCUCCAUUUUUAGAAACAACUUCAUCAAGUUGCCUUCAGAUUUGGAGACAACUUCAACAAGUUGACUCCACAUGGUGGUGGUAGAAUUGGUGGUUGUUGGUGGUGAUUGGCGGCGGCGGUGAAUGAAAGUGGUGGUGGUUGUUGGCGGCGGUGGGUGGUGUUUGGCAGCGGCGGUGAUGAUUGGUGGCGGUAGUGGAGGGAAAUGGUGGUGGUCGUUGGCGGUGGU
Papaver somniferum (opium poppy) is the source of this 2772-nucleotide long non-coding RNA. RefSeq lists it as uncharacterized. The record is from RefSeq and is a predicted model, not a curated record. NCBI's taxonomy places the organism in Eukaryota, Viridiplantae, Streptophyta, Magnoliopsida, Ranunculales, Papaveraceae. The transcript has 5 exons.